Molecule: transfer RNA, 68 nt
Filed under: Eucrate crenata
Lineage: Eukaryota; Metazoa; Arthropoda; Malacostraca; Decapoda; Goneplacidae
Description: tRNA-Asn
Source: RNAcentral
UUGAUAGAAGCCAAAAUAGAGGCUAAUCACUGUUAAUGAUUUAAUUGAGUAUUAUUCCUCCUAUCAAG